UACGUAAGGUGCGAGCGUUAAUCGGAAUUACUGGGCGUAAAGCGUGCGCAGGCGGUUUUGUAAGCCAGAUGUGAAAUCCCCGGGCUUAACCUGGGAAUGGCAUUUGGGACUGCAAGGCUGGAGUGUGGCAGAGGAGACUGGAAUUCCUGGUGUAGCAGUGAAAUGCGUAGAUAUCAGGAGGAACACCGGUGGCGAAGGCGGGUCUCUGGGCCGAUACUGACGCUGAGGAGCGAAAGCCAGGGGAGCAAACGGG
Molecule: ribosomal RNA, 253 nt
Filed under: uncultured bacterium
Lineage: Bacteria
Description: partial 16S ribosomal RNA
Rfam family: Bacterial small subunit ribosomal RNA
Source: RNAcentral